This 1011-nucleotide unclassified non-coding RNA is filed under the name Hevea brasiliensis (rubber tree). Lineage: Eukaryota; Viridiplantae; Streptophyta; Magnoliopsida; Malpighiales; Euphorbiaceae. The record is from RNAcentral.
GAUUUCAUUAUUUUGUUACUUUUACUGACGAUUAAUCCCGUUGCACUUGGGCGUUUUUAGUAAGGCAUCAUUCUGAAUUGUUCUCUAUUUUUAAAAAAUUUUGUGCUGAAAUUCAUAAUUAAUUUAGUGUUAUAAUUAAGGUAUUACGCAGUGAUAAUGCAAAAGAAUACUUAUUUUUUCCCUUCACCAAUUUCAUGUUUUCUCAGGGAAUCACUCAUCAAAGUGCUUGUGCAUAUACUUCACAGCAAAAUGGAGUUGCUGAACGUAAAAAUCGGCAUCUUAUUGAAAUUGCCCAUACCUUACUUGUACACAAUAGUGUUCUACUUCGUUUUUGGGCAGAUGCUGUUCUCACUGCUUGUUAUUUAAUUAACUGAAUGUCUUCUUCUGUGUUACUGCAUCAAAAGUCCUCACUUAAUUUUAUUUCCAAAUCAAAAACCCCAUCAUCUAUCAUUACGUGUGUUUGGCUGCAUCUGCUUUGUUCAUGAUCACAAGCCAGGGAAAGAUAAACUCCAGCCUAAAUCUGUUAAGUGUGUCUUUUUAUGAUACUACUGUCCUAAAAAAGGUUACAAAUGCUAUGAAAACAAACAAACAUUUUAUCUCAGCAAUUUUAACAUUCUUUGAAACAUUCCCCUAUUUUUCAAUAAACAUAGAAAUCAAAAGACUCAUUUUUGAUGUUUUACCUAUUCCUCCUCUUCUCUCCCCAUUCAAAGUCAGUACUCCUAGUUCUCCUCCUCUUCAAGUCUACUCCCAUCGCCCUCACCCCUCUAUCCACACUAAAAAUACUUCUCUUCAUGAUGCAAGUGCAUUGGUUGCUCUUGAUAACUCAUCACCUAUUCCUCCGUCAUCUACUUCGGCCUUGCCUGCAAUAGAGACAGCAUCUCCUCCCAUUGCCUUUCGUAAAGGUAUUCGUUCCUCUCGAAACCUUUGUCCCAUUUAUAAUUUUUUAAGUUAUCAUUAUCUAUCACCAUUCUAUUAUGCAUUUGUUUUCACCUUGUCUAAUGUUUUUAUACC